GAUGAACGCCGGCGGUGUGCCUAAUACAUGCAAGUUGUACGCAAUGGCCCAACUGAUUGAUGGUGCUUGCACCUGAUUGACGAUGGAUCACCAGUGAGUGGCGGACGGGUGAGUAACACGUAGGUAACCUGCCCCGGAGCGGGGGAUAACAUUUGGAAACAGAUGCUAAUACCGCAUAACAACAAAAGCCACAUGGCUUUUGUUUGAAAGAUGGCUUUGGCUAUCACUCUGGGAUGGACCUGCGGUGCAUUAGCUAGUUGGUAAGGUAACGGCUUACCAAGGCGAUGAUGCAUAGCCGAGUUGAGAGACUGAUCGGCCACAAUGGAACUGAGACACGGUCCAUACUCCUACGGGAGGCAGCAGUAGGGAAUUUUCCACAAUGGGCGCAAGCCUGAUGGAGCAACACCGCGUGAGUGAAGAAGGGUUUCGGCUCGUAAAGCUCUGUUGUUGGAGAAGAACGUGCGUGAGAGUAACUGUUCA
RNAcentral lists this ribosomal RNA (480 nucleotides) under uncultured bacterium. RNAcentral describes it as "SSU rRNA". It matches the Rfam family "Bacterial small subunit ribosomal RNA", at positions 28 to 470 of the family's 1533-position model. The record is from RNAcentral.